This 788-nucleotide small RNA is filed under the name Histoplasma ohiense. RNAcentral's name for it is "hypothetical lncRNA". The record is from RNAcentral. Lineage: Eukaryota; Fungi; Ascomycota; Eurotiomycetes; Onygenales; Ajellomycetaceae.
GUUCUCAUUCUCAUCAUUUUCUUCAUUUGUCUCUUUCAUUUUCUAUGUUUGAUUUCCUCACUUUGUUUCACUUUACUAUUUCUUCUUCAUUAUAUCUAUCCUGGCCAGCACACACAUUUCCCGAACUUGGAAAUUCCACUUCAGAUACUAUUGCCCUGGGAGAGAACACCCAGACUCAUAGCUUUGGGAAAUGAUAUAUCCUCUAAUUUGAAUACCAAACCAAGAAGCGAAAACAAAUAGGUUGGAGGUUGGAGCAAGGAUUGUUGAAGUGGAACAAAGGAUCAAAUCCAUGUGAUAUUCGGCUUGAUGGCUGAAACAUGGCAUUCUGCAUGCAUGCACUAAGAACAGCUGCCAAGCUUGGCAGCUGUUCUCUACCCAUCCACACCAUCUGUUAUUUCUAGAGAUUCAAAGCUGUUUGCGAGAGCACUGAUGUGGUGAGAAAGAUGUCAUCUUCAGAGUGCACCUCUAUUCAUUUUAUCUUCGCCUCUGAGGAGCACUCUGCUUGUGUCCAGACUAGUGUACCAUCCUCUCCCCCUUUUGAUGCUCACCAGCCCGCUUGAAGAACAAACAUACUUCGACCUCAGCGAUGUUGAAUGCAAAUCAUGGCAUGCAAAAGCAUUCUGUCUUUCUACUGCUGAGACAGCUGUCAGCCCUCUGGAGCAAUCAAGGCAAUUUGGAUUGAAUGCAGAUUAAUGAGAGAAGAGCUGUGAAAUAAAUUUGUAUUUACUAGCUUUCAUUUACCCAUCAAGAUGUCAUACAGGCCAUCACUUUCCACUUGUCAACUGCAG